RNAcentral lists this ribosomal RNA (600 nucleotides) under uncultured bacterium. RNAcentral describes it as "bacterial SSU rRNA". It matches the Rfam family "Bacterial small subunit ribosomal RNA", at positions 85 to 681 of the family's 1533-position model. The record is from RNAcentral.
ACCUGAUUCAGCGGCGGACGGGUGAGUAAUGCCUAGGAAUCUGCCCGAUAGUGGGGGACAACGUUUCGAAAGGAACGCUAAUACCGCAUACGUCCUACGGGAGAAAGUGGGGGAUCUUCGGACCUCACGCUAUCGGAUGAGCCUAGGUCGGAUUAGCUAGUUGGUGAGGUAAUGGCUCACCAGGGCGACGAUCCGUAACUGGUCUGAGAGGAUGAUCAGUCACACUGGAACUGAGACACGGUCCAGACUCCUACGGGAGGCAGCAGUGGGGAAUAUUGGACAAUGGGCGAAAGCCUGAUCCAGCCAUGCCGCGUGUGUGAAGAAGGUCUUCGGAUUGUAAAGCACUUUAAGUUGGGAGGAAGGGCAGUAAGCUAAUACCUUGCUGUUUUGACGUUACCAACAGAAUAAGCACCGGCUAACUUCGUGCCAGCAGCCGCGGUAAUACGAAGGGUGCAAGCGUUAAUCGGAAUUACUGGGCGUAAAGCGCGCGUAGGUGGUUCAGCAAGUUGGAUGUGAAAUCCCCGGGCUCAACCUGGGAACUGCAUCCAAAACUACUGAGCUAGAGUACGGUAGAGGGUGGUGGAAUUUCCUGUGUAGCGG